CCUCAAGACAGAUGCCCAUUCGUUACUGCAAACAUGUGGGAGAUGAUGGAUAAAAGUUGGGGUAUGAUUGAAGCUUAUUUGGUCUUUUAGCCCAAACAUUCCAAACGUUCAAAGCGCACACCUGGGAGAAAUCGAAUCCAGAACGCGUUCUCAUCUUAAACUCGUCAAUGGCAUACGAAGCAUCCACACGUUCCUCACAUUUUCACCACGCUAUUUCUUCUUUCGCUUCAGCAUUUCAUGCUUUUUUUUCCUUCUCACUACGAAAGCCAUGAAUGAACUCCAAAUUCGUAUCCAAGCUAACAUAUCUCCUCGUUGUAGCAUCGACUUCACGUGCCUCCUUCUUAAUUCAAAAGAUCUAGCGCAAGCCAUAGAUAACUUCGAAUAUAGAGCUUCACCAAAUCGAGUCCAAACUGAGUUCGUCAUUCAUCUUCAACAAAUCCAAAUCCAUACCGAAGUCGAAUUCUCUAAACAACUCGUUCUUGCACGUAGAUUAAAGAAUCAAGAAGAAGACUUAUCGUUGGAGUUUCGACGCAGUGGUUAUGGUUACAGGUACUGGAUUAUCUUUCUAUUUCCUUCUACUCUUCCUCGAUUCCACCUUUUUCUUUUCCUUCUAUGUUGCUGCGUUGUUGAAUUUAUGUGUCGAGAAUGAGUGAUAUUGUUAUGUUCUCUGCGUGAGGUCGAAGAAUGGUGACGAGAUUUGCAGUGAGGAAUUCAGAGAGAGAUCGGAGAUAGAGCUUUGUGAGAAAUGGAGAGGGAAGAGUCAAACUGAAAAAAUGAAUUCUCCUCCUCGGAAUUGUGAUGAUUGAUGAAUAUAUAGUGAGGUGUAGAUGUAACUGAAUCGAGCACUUUGGUCAGUUCUGUUAGGGCAGGGUUAAUGUUUAACUGAAAUCGUGAAGGGAUUGGUUAUGAUGUUAACUAUGUGAAACUCUUCUGUCAGUUUCUGUUAUCAUUCUUUUUAGGUUAGAAACUAUGUUUAAAGAUCUAUUAUGGAUGUUGGAUGUUGAAGCUAGAGGAUUCAGUAAAGCUUGAAGUUGGAUAUGUUUUAAUUUUGCAGGUUGGAAUCCAUUGAUUUGUUGCUAUGAGAUUUUGAAUGUGCUUGGGAUAUUGUUGCAGUAGUGGUUUGAAUACUGGCUAUGGCUUGAAUGGUUGGACAAUGUUGGAUGGUUGCAAUUGACUUGGCUAGGCAAUGGUUGGAUGAUUUUUAUAGGUUUUAGGUGUGGUUAUGUAUUGUAAUGUAGCUUAGGUCAUGUAUUUAGUUAUGUGUUGUAUAUGGAAACAAUGGAUGAAUAUUGACUGUAUUAUAAUGGAAUUGGAGUAUUGUAUUUGUGCUUAAA
Molecule: RNA transcript, 1334 nt
Organism: Lathyrus oleraceus (garden pea)
Lineage: Eukaryota; Viridiplantae; Streptophyta; Magnoliopsida; Fabales; Fabaceae
Exons: 3
Source: RefSeq, a predicted model, not a curated record